CCUACGGGUGGCAGCAGUGGGGAAUAUUGGACAACGGGCGAAAGCCUGAUCCAGCCAUGCCGCGUGUGUGAAGAAGGCCUUCGGGUUGUAAAGCACUUUCAGUGGGGAAGAAAGCCUUGGGGCUAAUACCCUCGAGGAAGGACAUCACCCACAGAAGAAGCACCGGCUAACUCCGUGCCAGCAGCCGCGGUAAUACGGAGGGUGCGAGCGUUAAUCGGAAUUACUGGGCGUAAAGCGCGCGUAGGCGGUCUGAUAAGCCGGUUGUGAAAGCCCCGGGCUCAACCUGGGAACGGCAUCCGGGACUGUCAGGCUAGAGUGCAGGAGAGGAAGGUAGAAUUCCCGGUGUAGCGGUGAAAUGCGUAGAGAUCGGGAGGAAUACCAGUGGCGAAGGCGGCCUUCUGGACUGACACUGACGCUGAGGUGCGAAAGCGUGGGUAGCAAACAGGAUUAGAUACCCCAGUAGUC
RNAcentral lists this ribosomal RNA (465 nucleotides) under Vreelandella stevensii. RNAcentral's name for it is "partial 16S ribosomal RNA". It matches the Rfam family "Bacterial small subunit ribosomal RNA", at positions 338 to 795 of the family's 1533-position model. The record is from RNAcentral. Lineage: Bacteria; Pseudomonadati; Pseudomonadota; Gammaproteobacteria; Oceanospirillales; Halomonadaceae.